CGCGGAUGAUCAGCACAUCAGAGGAGAUUGCACAGGUUGGAACAAUAUCGGCUAAUGGAGAGCGGGAAAUUGGGGAAUUGAUCGCAAAGGCCAUGGAAAAAGUUGGCAAGGAGGGUGUUAUCACAAUCUCCGGUGGGAAAGACAUUAUACAAUGAACUAGAGGUUAUUGUGGGGAUGAAGCUGGAUAGAGGUUACAUGUCCCCUUAUUUCAUCACCAAUCAGAAGAACCAGAAAUAUGUAAGCAUCUUUAUGGAUGGUUUGGCUGGUUUAUCUAUGUUAAUGCAGCAACACUCUCAA
Long non-coding RNA from Rhodamnia argentea, 297 nucleotides. RefSeq lists it as uncharacterized. NCBI's taxonomy places the organism in Eukaryota, Viridiplantae, Streptophyta, Magnoliopsida, Myrtales, Myrtaceae. The record is from RefSeq and is a predicted model, not a curated record. The transcript is spliced from 3 exons.